AGGAUAGGUGGGAGACUGUGAAGCUGCCGCGCCAGCGGUGGUGGAGUCGUCGUUGAAAUACCAUUCUGGUUCAAGCGGUCACCUUAACCUUGGCCCGUGAUCCGGGUUGGGGACAGUGCCUGAUGGGUAGUUUAACUGGGGCGGUUGCCUCCUAAAGUGUAACGGAGGCGCCCAAAGGUUCCCUCAGCCUGGUUGGCAAUCAGGUGUUGAGUGUAAGUGCACAAGGGAGCUUGACUGUGAGACUGGCAGGUCGAGCAGGGACGAAAGUCGGGACUAGUGAUCCGGCCAUGGCACGUGGGUGCGUGGUCGCUCAACGGAUAAAAGGUACCUCGGGGAUAACAGGCUGAUCUUGCCCAAGAGUCCAUAUCGACGGCAUGGUUUGGCACCUCGAUGUCGGCUCGUCGCAUCCUGGGGCUGGAGUUGGUCCCAAGGGUUGGGCUGUUCGCCCAUUAAAGCGGUACGCGAGCUGGGUUCAGAACGUCGUGAGACAGUUCGGUCCCUAUCCGCUGCGCGCGUUGGAAACUUGAAAAAGGCUGUCCUUAGUACGAGAGGACCGGGACGGACGAACCUCUGGUAUGUCAGUUGUACCGCCAGGUGCAUGGCUGAUUGGCUACGUUCGGGAGGGAUAACCGCUGAAAGCAUCUAAGCGGGAAACUUGCUUUGAGAUGAGGUUUCCACACCCCCUAGGGUGGAAGGCCCCCGGCAGACUACCGGGUUGAUAGGCCAGAGGUGGAAGCACCGCGAGGUGCUCGUGAGCCGACUGGUACUAAUGGGCCAACACUAACAAACAC
RNAcentral lists this ribosomal RNA (791 nucleotides) under Prevotellaceae bacterium. RNAcentral's name for it is "partial 23S ribosomal RNA". It matches the Rfam family "Bacterial large subunit ribosomal RNA", at positions 2140 to 2925 of the family's 2925-position model. Lineage: Bacteria; Pseudomonadati; Bacteroidota; Bacteroidia; Bacteroidales; Prevotellaceae. The record is from RNAcentral.